Molecule: ribosomal RNA, 383 nt
Filed under: uncultured soil bacterium
Lineage: Bacteria
Description: bacterial SSU rRNA
Rfam family: Bacterial small subunit ribosomal RNA
Source: RNAcentral
AGAACGAACGCUGGCGGCAUGCCUAACACAUGCAAGUCGAACGAGACCUUCGGGUCUAGUGGCGCACGGGUGCGUAACGCGUGGGAAUCUGCCCUUGGGUUCGGAAUAACAGUUAGAAAUGACUGCUAAUACCGGAUGAUGACGAAAGUCCAAAGAUUUAUCGCCCAGGGAUGAGCCCGCGUAGGAUUAGCUAGUUGGUGAGGUAAAGGCUCACCAAGGCGACGAUCCUUAGCUGGUCUGAGAGGAUGAUCAGCCACACUGGGACUGAGACACGGCCCAGACUCCUACGGGAGGCAGCAGUGGGGAAUUUUGGACAAUGGGCGAAAGCCUGAUCCAGCCAUGCCGCGUGCAGGAUGAAGGCCUUCGGUUGUAACUGCUUUGUA